UGGGGAAUUUGGACAAUGGGCGAAAGCCUGAUCCAGCAAUGCCGCGUGUGUGAAGAAGGCCUUCGGGUUGUAAAGCACUUUUGUCCGGAAAGAAAUCCUUGGCUCUAAUACAGUCGGGGGAUGACGGUACCGGAAGAAUAAGCACCGGCUAACUACGUGCCAGCAGCCGCGGUAAUACGUAGGGUGCAAGCGUUAAUCGGAAUUACUGGGCGUAAAGCGUGCGCAGGCGGUUUGCUAAGACCGAUGUGAAAUCCCCGGGCUCAACCUGGGAACUGCAUUGGUGACUGGCAGGCUAGAGUAUGGCAGAGGGGGGUAGAAUUCCACGUGUAGCAGUGAAAUGCGUAGAGAUGUGGAGGAAUACCGAUGGCGAAGGCAGCCCCCUGGGCCAAUACUGACGCUCAUGCACGAAAGCGUGGGGAGCAAACAGGAUUAGAUACCCUGGUAGUCCACGCCCUAAACGAUGUCAACUAGUUGUUGGGGAUUCAUUUCCUUAGUAACGUAGCUAACGCGUGAAGUUGACCGCCUGGGGAGUACGGUCGCAAGAUUAAAACUCAAAUGAAUUGACGGGGUCAU
RNAcentral lists this ribosomal RNA (573 nucleotides) under uncultured bacterium. RNAcentral's name for it is "partial 16S ribosomal RNA". It matches the Rfam family "Bacterial small subunit ribosomal RNA", at positions 356 to 922 of the family's 1533-position model. The record is from RNAcentral.